UACGGAGGAUGCAAGCGUUAUCCGGAUUCACUGGGUUUAAAGGGUGCGUAGGCGGAACGGUAAGUCAGUGGUGAAAGCCUGCAGCUUAACUGCAGAACUGCCAUUGAUACUAUCGUUCUUGAGUAUGGUUGAGGUGGGCGGAAUGUGUAAUGUAGCGGUGAAAUGCUUAGAUAUUACACAGAACACCGAUUGCGAAGGCAGCUCACUAAGCCAUUACUGACGCUCAGGCACGAAAGCGUGGGGAUCAAAC
RNAcentral lists this ribosomal RNA (250 nucleotides) under uncultured bacterium. Its description in RNAcentral is "partial 16S ribosomal RNA". It matches the Rfam family "Bacterial small subunit ribosomal RNA", at positions 524 to 773 of the family's 1533-position model. The record is from RNAcentral.